GAUUGCUCGGCGCGCGCGCCCCAUGUAACUUCCUCGUCUUCUUGCGACAGCUCGCGCUUUGAGGCGCCAUGUUAGACUGUACUAUGUCCGGGACCAGCCCGCUUUCGUAGCCGUUUACGCUACGUAGAAACUGCGACGUUGAACCAUCUUCAUGAUCGCCCACGAGUGACUUGCUCGCCGGCGUACAAAUGCCAUCGUCGUUUUAACAUACAACAUGCAUAUGGCAUAGCCAUAGGUGCGAUCCAAAAUGCGCACGUUUUAGGGAGCAAGAGAAUGUGAAAUUCACUUGCAAACACGGUGACUGCGUGCAUGGGGAGUUCCCCAAAAGUAGACACGGCGGCAGCGCGGAUGGUGGCGAUAAGGCAGGCGCCGACAAGCGACGACGCUACCUUUGAGCAUCGGACGCGCUGUGCGAGCCGUAGGAUGCAAGCGCACACAGGCUGUAAACAUACACUUCAGAGGUCUUAGAAUUUCCUGUGCCACACCCUGUGUCUCGAAAGCAUAAUACAUUUUUUUAUCCAACGGCCGUGGUACUAGAUAUCAAACAACGAACGCGCUUUGAGAGCACAGCGCGUUGAAAGAGUUUCGGAUUCAGCAACAGCCGCAACAUUACGCAGCUAAUCGCUGUCUCAGCGGCUGCUCCCGACACUCGCCUUGCAGAAGCAUGCGAUAAAAUUCUUGCCAUGGAAGCCUCCCAAGCCUGCAGCUCUCCUAUGUUCAGUGAAACAAACGAAGGCCAAAGAGAAAUGAAAGAAAUCAAACAACAGUUACGCGCCCACGUUAUACCGUACUUUUUACCGCGUCAUCUGCAAAGAUGCUGCAAACUACUUAAACAAAUUGUUGUUCAUACAAAUAAAGAUAUUAGUAAUAACUUUUACUCAUAGGUGACGCAAUAAACGCCAAACCAGUGUUUGAGCAUGAGUGUUUGAGUGUGUGCGCGCGUGCGUGACUUUAUUGUGAGCAGUCUUUUGCAACGGUAUCCAGUGUGCCGUUAGUUUCGUAGUCGCAAUUUUGUUCAUCGUAUUAUUUAUUUUUUACGCUACAAAUUAAGUUUUCCUUCAAAAUUUAUUAUAUUUUCUAUGAACAAAAAUUAUCAAUCAUUAUUUAUGGAUUUUAGUGGUUAUUUUUAGUAGGAACGAUUUUAUUAACUUAAUACGAUACUGAGGCUGUGGCCGCUUUUCGACUCUGUCACUCGUCUGAACUUGUGCGGUGGUUCGUGCGUGGUUCGUGCCGCGCGCGCUUUGUUGGAAGCAUUUUUCUUUUGUUUUUGGACAUCAUGACGCACGUUUUAGUGAAAUUGCUCUAUGAUGAUAAGUGGGAUGUUUAUCCGUUGAAGACGUUAGCUGACGCAGCUACUGGUCUUCGGGUGAUGUUCGAGCCUGGCAGUUUUGAUGAGUUGCGCGGCAGAAUUCAUGAUGGAAGGAAGGCGAACAAAGCCGCAGCCUGACUUCUGCACACAGGCAAACCGCAUGCCCUGGAGCGAAAGCGCGCGAAGCUAGCGCUUGCUGCCGCCGCUGCUUCGAUUGGAAUGUUACACAUGCACCAAAUGCCCAGGUGCUAACGUGUCGUUCGUCAAGAACAGCUUGGCGUCGUUUCUUGCAAGAGACAUCCAUUGAUCUGCGGCUGAUUCACCAGGAAGCUCGCAUCUCUGUUGCCACUCUGCGUCAAGUGGGAUUUUAACUAUUUUUUAUUCUGCCCUGUGGUGUACGCUGUGACGCUGUGAAGACUUACUUUCAUGGACGCUGUGAAGGCUUACUUUCGAUGUGUUCUGCCUUUUAGUUGUAAAGAAUUGGCUACCUUGUGAGUGGAGGUAGUUCCUUUUUCUUGUGAGAAUGUUUAUCAGCCUAACCAAGUGGUACCACAGGAACACAUACAAGCGCCGACUCAACUAGAAGUUUAUUAUUGAAGACAGGUUGUAAACACAUUGGAACUUGACAAAGAUAAGAAACCAUGUAUGCGUGGCCUUUGUGAUUAAAAAAAAAUGUGUUUUCUGCUGUAAGGGGUAGAACGAACAAUUGUUUCAUCACAAAGACCAGAACACAAGAGAAAUUAUGGAAGCCUUAUUUAUUGAUUGCAAAGAAGACAAAUGCAUAAGCUAUCUGUUGCUCUUAAUGGGAAAGAGUUGGGAUUUUUAAAAGAGCUCUCCUUGUUUGGUGGUAUCACUUAUAGGACAUCUCUCACUGUUUUUUUUUUACCUGCAUAUUUAUACUACAAAACACGUCUUUCGUUCCUUUUUUUUUGUUGCACCGGGCUGUCUGCCACGCAUGCAUGGCCAUUUCUUUUUCAAGUUGGCCAGUGUGCUUAAUAUCUUUGUCGUCACGAACAAACUUCUAGUUGAGUCAGCAUUAUUGUGUGUUCCUACCUUAUUUCACCGUUCUCAUCUUUGUUUGAGCUGUUUGUAAAGUAUGUACACACACCAAAUUACCAAUGUAUCCGUAAAAUUGAGAUACAUGAAGUUAUUUGCACUAUUCAUUUCUGCAAGAAUGGUAUAGCUCCUCAUCUCGUUUAUUCUUAACGUUGUUGUACAGUUUUUGUAAUAUAUAGCUUGGAAAGACGUUUUCUGUCAGAUUAAAUAUGCAUGUAUGUCACUUUCGAUAUUUUUUUUCAACAUGGGUAGUGCAGCUCCUUCCGUCUUUCAGUUACUGCUUUGUCGCAACUUUUAUAUAUUUUAUGCAGCGAAAUGCUGGUGGAAUUAUAUAUAUUUAUGUGCGCAAGUGUGGUAAAUGGUGUUUUGUAUGUGCAUUUAUUUGCGUUUUUUACUAGCUCUCCAAUCUGGCUGUACAGUUAUUGAAACCUUUUCUCAUGCUUUAUAUUGAGUCGUUCUAGGCUCUUUGAUGAUGCAGGUGACCAUUUAUUUCACUGUUGGGAAUUGUGUUAGCUGUGUGUCUCUCCAGUUGUCUGUGUAUUUUAUGUCACUUCAUUAUAUCAUUGAAACUAUUAGCCUUGCAUUAGCUUUUUAUUGACCGAGGUACCAGUUAGUUGCUGUGUAGGGUGAAAAAGGCCCAAAGAAAUGAUUUCAUUAGCUUUGUUCAAGUCCAGAAAAAAAUUCACUGAUGAGCUCACUAAAUUAGAAAAUGCCACCAGGAAACUCUUCCGCACCUAAAAGUAACACAAGAAAUUAAAUACUGUUCAUACUCGAGAGGGAAACAGCGCGAAAAAACUCGACAAGCAGGGAGACACACACCAGCGCUUCUUGUCCCUUCUUGUCUUCUUGUGUUUUUUUGCGCUGUUUCCCUCUCGAGUAUGCACCGACUAGCCCAAGCCUCUACUGUCUUGAAAUACUGUGCAGUUCUUGACUUAUGCCAGGGAGGUAAGCUGCUUUUACAGCACAAAUGUUUUAGAAGUUUACGUCUGAAAAACAUGAUUCAGGUGUUUUGUAUUUAUAUACAUGAAGUCAUUUGUUUCCAGUUUACUUAUUAUUUUGCCUACUCACAGGCAGCCGUAAACCCUUCUGUGAGUGUUUACUGGGUGUGUGAAGCAUUUUACUGUAAGGUAUCCAGUGGUCUUCAUUUUUGUAUUUAUGCAUGCAAGCCAAGAGUUCAUGUGUUCAAAGUUAGUUACAAGGGUAUGCUUAAGGUCUGCCUUUGAGUCACUUGACUGUUGUUUUUACAAAAUAUUUUUUUUCUGCUGUAAUUGUGAAAUAGAAUUCUUUCUGCUGUAAUAAACUUCAAGUUGAGUGAGCAUUCGUGUGUAUUCUUAUCUUAAUUCAGCGUUCGCAUCUCUGUUUGAGCUGCUGUUUGUCAAGUCUGUACAUACACCAAAUUGCCAAAGUGCUCGUAAAAUUGUGAGACAUAAGGCUAUUUGCAUUGUUUAUUCCUGCAAGAAGGCUAUAGGUUUCCAUCUUCCGUUUGUUUUUAACAUUGCUGUACAUCUUUGUAG
Molecule: long non-coding RNA, 3879 nt
Organism: Dermacentor silvarum
Lineage: Eukaryota; Metazoa; Arthropoda; Arachnida; Ixodida; Ixodidae
Exons: 3
Source: RefSeq, a predicted model, not a curated record